GCAUAAGAACAAUUCUCAAAUUGCAGUGUCAAUUAAGAAAAUAUAGUUUGGUUGUUGGCAUCUAGUAUGCCAUUCAAAACAUAUGGUUACUCAGAUUCAAUAUAAAUGUAAAUGACGAAAAAGAAAAGAAUAAAAUAUAUAAAAUGCAUUAAUUAAUUUAACAUGGACUUUUAUUAAAUUAAUUAUGCUCCCACUGUUUAAAUAAAAUUUAUGACCCUCUCACAUAAAUUUAUGGAGUCCAUGCUUGACUCCCAGUGGGCUGGGAUCCCAUCUAUUAUAUUAAAACAUUGAGUGUACUCAACAAGCCCUAAUAUAAU
Molecule: long non-coding RNA, 317 nt
Filed under: Olea europaea (common olive)
Lineage: Eukaryota; Viridiplantae; Streptophyta; Magnoliopsida; Lamiales; Oleaceae
Description: long non-coding RNA (OEUR_LNC012219)
Source: RNAcentral